AAGCCUGAUCCAGCCAUGCCGCGUGUUGAAGAAGGCUUUCGGGUUGUAAAGCACUUUCAGUGGGGAAGAAAUCCUCGGGGCCAAUACCCUCGAGGGAGGACAUCACCCACAGAAGAAGCACCGGCUAACUCCGUGCCAGCAGCCGCGGUAAUACGGAGGGUGCGAGCGUUAAUCGGAAUUACUGGGCGUAAAGCGCGCGUAGGCGGCGUGAUAAGCCGGUUGUGAAAGCCCCGGGCUCAACUUGGGAACGGCAUCCGGAACUGUCAGGCUAGAGUGCAGGAGAGGAAGGUAGAAUUCCCGGUGUAGCGGUGAAUUGCGUAGAGAUCGGGAGGAAUACCAGUGGCGAAGGCGGCUUUCUGGACUGACACUGACGCUGAGGUGCGAAAGCGUGGGUAGCAAACAGGAUUAGAUACCCUGGUAGUCCACGCCGUAAACGAUGUCGACUAGCCGUUGGGGUCCUUGUGACCUUUGUGGCGCAGUUAACGCGAUAAGUCGACCGCCUGGGGAGUACGGCCGCAAGGUUAAAACUCAAAUGAAUUGACGGGGGCCCGCACAAGCGGUGGAGCAUGUGGUUUAUUUCGAUGCAACGCGAAGACCCUUACCUACUCUUGACAUCGUGCGAACUUUCCAAAGAUGGAUUGGUGCCUUCGGGAACGCACAGACAGGUGCUGCAUGGCGGUCGUCAGCUCGUGUUGUGAAAUGUUGGGUUAAGUCCCGUAACGAGCGCAACCCUUGUCCCUAUUUGCCAGCGAUU
Molecule: ribosomal RNA, 754 nt
Filed under: Halomonas sp.
Lineage: Bacteria; Pseudomonadati; Pseudomonadota; Gammaproteobacteria; Oceanospirillales; Halomonadaceae
Description: bacterial SSU rRNA
Rfam family: Bacterial small subunit ribosomal RNA
Source: RNAcentral